UUGAAGAGUUUGAUCAUGGCUCAGAUUGAACGCUGGCGGCAGGCCUAACACAUGCAAGUCGAACGGUAACAGGAAGCAGCUUGCUGCUUCGCUGACGAGUGGCGGACGGGUGAGUAAUGUCUGGGAAGCUGCCUGAUGGAGGGGGAUAACUACUGGAAACGGUAGCUAAUACCGCAUAAUGUCGCAAGACCAAAGGGGGGGGACCUUCGGGCCUCUUGCCAUCGGAUGUGCCCAGAUGGGAUUAGCUUGUUGGUGGGGUAACGGCUCACCAAGGCGACGAUCCCUAGCUGGUCUGAGAGGAUGACCAGCCACACUGGAACUGAGACACGGUCC
Molecule: ribosomal RNA, 333 nt
Filed under: Escherichia coli
Lineage: Bacteria; Pseudomonadati; Pseudomonadota; Gammaproteobacteria; Enterobacterales; Enterobacteriaceae
Description: bacterial SSU rRNA
Rfam family: Bacterial small subunit ribosomal RNA
Source: RNAcentral